RNAcentral lists this long non-coding RNA (214 nucleotides) under Elaeis guineensis (African oil palm). RNAcentral's name for it is "long non-coding RNA (EGUI_LNC013322)". Lineage: Eukaryota; Viridiplantae; Streptophyta; Magnoliopsida; Arecales; Arecaceae. The record is from RNAcentral.
AUCCAGCCAGAGCCGUUUCGUCGGCCCAGUGAAGCAUCCGAUCACCACCCGCUCAUAAGCCCAGGUCCGUGAAAAAUAUAUAAUGAUAAAUUGCUUCACCAGCUCACUCUCUCUCCCUUUCGUUUGAAUCUUUUCUUCUCCUCUCUCCUCUCCCUCUCCCACGCCUCCUUUCCUCUGUUAUUAGACCAUGGCGGAGAUUCAACGGUUUCCCGCC